UGCCUAACACAUGCAAGUCGAACGCGGUUACCCCGCAAGGGGUAACUGAGUGGCGAACGGGUGAGUAACACGUGGGUGACCUACCUUCGAGUGGGGGAUAACGUCCCGAAAGGGACGCUAAUACCGCAUAACAUCCUGUCCUUGAACGGACGGAGAUCAAAGCCGGGGAUCGCAAGACCUGGCGUUUGAAGAGGGGCCCGCGUCUGAUUAGCUAGUUGGUGGGGUAACGGCUCACCAAGGCGACGAUCAGUAUCCGGCCUGAGAGGGCGGACGGACACACUGGGACUGAGACACGGCCCAGACUUCUACGGGAGGCAGCAGUGGGGAAUUGUUCGCAAUGGGCGCAAGCCUGACGACGCAACGCCGCGUGGAGGAUGAAGGUCUUCGGAUUGUAAACUCC
Molecule: ribosomal RNA, 400 nt
Filed under: uncultured organism
Description: bacterial SSU rRNA
Rfam family: Bacterial small subunit ribosomal RNA
Source: RNAcentral